AGCGAACGCUGGCGGCAGGCUUAACACAUGCAAGUCGAGCGGGCGUAGCAAUACGUCAGCGGCAGACGGGUGAGUAACGCGUGGGAACAUACCUUUUGGUUCGGAACAACACAGGGAAACUUGUGCUAAUACCGGAUAAGCCCUUACGGGGAAAGAUUUAUCGCCGAAAGAUUGGCCCGCGUCUGAUUAGCUAGUUGGUGAGGUAACGGCUCACCAAGGCGACGAUCAGUAGCUGGCUGAGAGGAUGAUCAGCCACAUUGGGACUGAGACACGGCCCAAACUCCUACGGGAGGCAGCAGUGGGGAAUAUUGGACAAUGGGCGCAAGCCUGAUCCAGCCAUGCCGCGUGAGUGAUGAAGGCCCUAGGGUUGUAAAGCUCUUUGUGCGGGAAGAUAAUGACGGUACCGCAAGAAUAAGCCCCGGGCUAACUUCGUGCCAGCAGCCGCCGCUGUAAU
RNAcentral lists this ribosomal RNA (454 nucleotides) under uncultured bacterium. RNAcentral's name for it is "bacterial SSU rRNA". It matches the Rfam family "Bacterial small subunit ribosomal RNA", at positions 29 to 524 of the family's 1533-position model. The record is from RNAcentral.